This 402-nucleotide ribosomal RNA is filed under the name uncultured bacterium. Its description in RNAcentral is "bacterial SSU rRNA". It matches the Rfam family "Bacterial small subunit ribosomal RNA", at positions 355 to 775 of the family's 1533-position model. The record is from RNAcentral.
UGGGGAAUAUUGCACAAUGGGCGAAAGCCUGAUGCAGCAACGCCGCGUGAGCGAUGAAGGCCUUCGGGUCGUAAGGCUCUGUCCUCAAGGAAGAUAAUGACGGUACUUGAGGAGGAAGCCCCGGCUAACUACGUGCCAGCAGCCGCGGUAAUACGUAGGGGGCUAGCGUUAUCCGGAAUUACUGGGCGUAAAGGGUGCGUAGGCGGUCUUUCAAGUCAGGAGUGAAAGGCUACGGCUCAACCGUAGUAAGCUCUUGAAACUGUAAGACUUGAGUGCAGGAGAGGAGAGUAGAAUUCCUAGUGUAGCGGUGAAAUGCGUAGAUAUUAGGAGGAAUACCAGUUGCGAAGGCGGCUCUCUGGACUGUAACUGACGCUGAGGCACGAAAGCGUGGGGAGCAAACAG